Molecule: ribosomal RNA, 403 nt
Filed under: bacterium
Lineage: Bacteria
Description: partial 16S ribosomal RNA
Rfam family: Bacterial small subunit ribosomal RNA
Source: RNAcentral
UGGGGAAUAUUGCACAAUGGGGGAAACCUUGAUGCAGCGACGCCGCGUGAACGAAGAAGGUAUUCGUAUCGUAAAGUUCUGUCCUAUGGGAAGAUAAUGACAGUACCAUAGAAGAAAGCUCCGGCUAAAUACGUGCCAGCAGCCGCGGUAAUACGUAUGGAGCGAGCGUUGUCCGGAAUUAUUGGGCGUAAAGGGUACGCAGGCGGUUUAAUAAGUCGAAUGUUAAAGAUCGGGGCUCAACCCCGCAAAGCAUUGGAAACUGAUAAACUUGAGUAGUGGAGAGGAAAGUGGAAUUCCUAGUGUAGUGGUGAAAUACGUAGAUAUUAGGAGGAAUACCAGUAGCGAAGGCGACUUUCUGGACACAAACUGACGCUGAGGUACGAAAGCGUGGGGGGCAAACAGG